Molecule: ribosomal RNA, 253 nt
Filed under: uncultured bacterium
Lineage: Bacteria
Description: partial 16S ribosomal RNA
Rfam family: Bacterial small subunit ribosomal RNA
Source: RNAcentral
UACGGAGGGUGCGAGCGUUGUCCGGAAUCACUGGGCGUAAAGGGCGCGUAGGUGGCCCGGUAAGGUUGCGGUGAAAGCCCGGGGCUCAACCCCGGGUCGGCCGUGGCAACUGCUGGGCUGGAGCACAGUAGAGGCGGGUGGAAUUCCGGGUGUAGCGGUGGAAUGCGUAGAGAUCCGGAAGAACACCGGUGGCGAAGGCGGCCCGCUGGGCUGUUGCUGACGCUGAGGCGCGACAGCGUGGGGAGCAAACAGG